UACGUAGGUGGCAAGCGUUGUCCGGAUUUACUGGGCGUAAAGAGCGCGCAGGCGGUCGUUCAAGUCGCGUGUGAAAGCCCCCGGCUCAACUGGGGAGGGUCACGCGAUACUGAUCGACUCGAAGGCAGGAGAGGGAAGUGGAAUUCCCGGUGUAGCGGUGAAAUGCGUAGAGAUCAGGAAGAACAUCGGUGGCGAAGGCGCUCUGCUGGACCAUAACUGACACUCAGGGACGAAAGCUAGGGGAGCGAAUGGG
RNAcentral lists this ribosomal RNA (253 nucleotides) under uncultured bacterium. Its description in RNAcentral is "partial 16S ribosomal RNA". It matches the Rfam family "Bacterial small subunit ribosomal RNA", at positions 524 to 776 of the family's 1533-position model. The record is from RNAcentral.